ACUUGUUUAGCAUAUUUUUAAUGCUUUGGGAUUGUAGCUCCAAAUUAAGGGAUGUAUUUCUAGCAAGGG
RNAcentral lists this transfer RNA (69 nucleotides) under Paradiplozoon opsariichthydis. Its description in RNAcentral is "tRNA-Tyr". The record is from RNAcentral. Lineage: Eukaryota; Metazoa; Platyhelminthes; Monogenea; Mazocraeidea; Diplozoidae.